CUACGGGAGGCUGCAGUGAGGAGUAUUGCACAAUGGGGGGAACCCUGAUGCAGCAACGCCGCGUGGAGGAUGACGCAUUUCGGUGUGUAAACUCCUUUUAUAUGUCAAGAAAAUGACGGUAGCAUAUGAAUAAGCACCGGCUAACUCCGUGCCAGCAGCCGCGGUAAUACGGAGGGUGCAAGCGUUACUCGGAAUCACUGGGCGUAAAGGACGCGUAGGCGGGUUGGAAAGUCAGGUGUGAAGUCCUACAGCUUAACUGUAGAACUGCACUUGAAACUUCUAAUCUAGAGUAUGGGAGGGGGAGAUGGAAUUAGUGGUGUAGGGGUAAAAUCCGUAGAUAUCACUAGGAAUACCUAAAGCGAAGGCGAUCUCCUGGAACAUUACUGACGCUAAGGCGUGAAAGCGUGGGGAGCAAACAGGAUUGAUACCCCCGUAGUC
RNAcentral lists this ribosomal RNA (438 nucleotides) under uncultured bacterium. RNAcentral describes it as "partial 16S ribosomal RNA". It matches the Rfam family "Bacterial small subunit ribosomal RNA", at positions 339 to 795 of the family's 1533-position model. The record is from RNAcentral.